GGGGUAGUAGUCUAGCUUGGUCAUGAUUCGUGGUUCGGGACCACGAGGUCGUCGGUUCAAAUCCGACCUACCCCA
This 75-nucleotide transfer RNA is filed under the name Methanobacteriota archaeon. RNAcentral describes it as "Euryarchaeota archaeon (sediment metagenome) tRNA-Pro". It matches the Rfam family "tRNA". Rfam says of the family: Transfer RNA (tRNA) molecules are approximately 80 nucleotides in length. Their secondary structure includes four short double-helical elements and three loops (D, anti-codon, and T loops). Lineage: Archaea; Methanobacteriati; Methanobacteriota. The record is from RNAcentral.